AUGGGGUGCUUCAGCUCCAAGCCGGACGACGCCAGCGUGCUGAUCAGGAGGCGGCCUGCCAGCAUCGGCGAGGUUGCCGUCUUCGUGCCGGGGCUGCGCGUCCCCGAGCCACUGGAGCUGCCCCCGCCGCUCGCCGACAGCCUCCCCAGAAGGCUCACCGAGCGGCUGGCCGCGUCGAGGGACCGCAUCGCCAACAUGGCCGCCCGCGAGGCGCUCGCCGUCACCAAGCCCCGCAGGCGUGCCGCCACACAGCAUGGGGCGUCCACGUCCGCUGAUCUUGUGCAGGCCUUGGAGGAGUACCUGCCAGUCAUUCUAGGGAUGGCGAAGGAUGGCAGCGAGCUGGAGGACAAGAUACAGUUUGCGUGGAUGAACCAAGAAGACGAUGCAGAGGAGACGGCACUGCCCAGCGCCUGGUACGAGGUGCUGUCGGUUCUGCACAUGAUGGCCAUGCUCCGUUUAUCACAAGCAAACUCCCUGCUACUGCCAAAGACGUCUCUUGAAGGAUACCAUGCCAAAGUAUCGGAAGAGAACAAACGGGCUUCUGUCGAGAUAUUCCUCAAGGCAGCCGGGCACCUGGAGUGCGCCAUGCAGAAUGUUCUUCCCAGGAUGUCGCCCGAAAAGAGGAAAGGUCUUCCCGUGGACCUGUCUGAAGGGGUCCUGAAAGCUACCUGCAUGCAAGCACUCGGUCAGGCAAUUGAUGUUCAACUUGGGUUGGCAAUUGACAGUCCAAAGGCUACCCUGGCUGUCAAAAGGAGGCUGGCAUGUGAGAUGGUCAAGUGCUGGCAGCAGGCACAUGAAAGCAUCGCGGACAUACCUCUGCUCGACGGCUGGGGCGAAAAGCACAGGCUCUUUGUCAAGUGGAAGCACAUGGAAGCAAAAGCUGCGGCGUAUUACUACCACGGGCUUAUCCUCGACGAAGGCAACACCGAGAAGUCUCACCGGGCGGCCGUGGCGGCGCUGCAGUCCGCGGAGGAGUCCCUGAGGGAGAGCAGGGCCGUCUGCGAGGCCUUCCACACCGCAUCCCCCUUUUCAAGGAGCCCGACCCUAUGGGGCUCGAUGAAGUACCUCCACGACAAGAUCCACAAGGACUCCAACUGCAAAGUCCGCAUCAACAAGGACCUCUACAGCAAUGUCGACAGGACACACGACACAGUGCCGGCGCUGCCGGAUUUCGCGGUGGCCCUCCAGCCGGAGGAGUACCGGCUUCCUCGCACAGACGCUGCUUCUGCAAAUGACUAG
RNAcentral lists this ribosomal RNA (1239 nucleotides) under Triticum aestivum (bread wheat). Its description in RNAcentral is "partial small subunit ribosomal RNA". Lineage: Eukaryota; Viridiplantae; Streptophyta; Magnoliopsida; Poales; Poaceae. The record is from RNAcentral.